GACGAACGCUGGCGGCGUGCCUAAUACAUGCAAGUUGAGCGCUGAAGGUUGGUACUUGUACCAACUGGAUGAGCAGCGAACGGGUGAGUAACGCGUGGGGAAUCUGCCUUUGAGCGGGGGACAACAUUUGGAAACGAAUGCUAAUACCGCAUAAAAACUUUAAACACAAGUUUUAAGUUUGAAAGAUGCAAUUGCAUCACUCAAAGAUGAUCCCGCGUUGUAUUAGGUAGUUGGUUAGGUAAAGGCUCACCAAGGCGAUGAUACAUAGCCGAACUGAGAGGGGGAUCGGCCAAAUUGGGACUGAGAAACGGCCCAAACUCCUACGGGAGGCAGCAGUAGGGAAUCUUCGGCAAUGGACGAAAGUCUGACCGAGCAAAGCCGCGUGAGUGAAGAAGGUUUUCGGAUCGUAAAGCUCUGUUGGUAGAGAAGAACGUUGGUGAGAGUGGAAAGCUCAUCAAGUGACGGUAACUACCCAGAAAGGGACGGCUAACUACGUG
Molecule: ribosomal RNA, 497 nt
Filed under: uncultured bacterium
Lineage: Bacteria
Description: partial 16S ribosomal RNA
Rfam family: Bacterial small subunit ribosomal RNA
Source: RNAcentral